This 354-nucleotide ribosomal RNA is filed under the name uncultured bacterium. Its description in RNAcentral is "bacterial SSU rRNA". It matches the Rfam family "Bacterial small subunit ribosomal RNA", at positions 69 to 422 of the family's 1533-position model. The record is from RNAcentral.
GCACGGGUAGCAAUACUGGGUGGCGACCGGCGCACGGGUGCGUAACACGUAUAUAAUCUGCCCUUAACUGGAGGAUAGCCCGAAGAAAUUCGGAUUAAUACUCCAUAGUCUGAUUGAAUGGCAUCAUUUGAUCAGUAAAGCUCCGGCGGUUAAGGAUGAAUAUGCGACUGAUUAGCUAGUUGGUGAGGUAACGGCUCACCAAGGCAACGAUCAGUAGGGGUACUAAGAGGUUACACCCCCACACUGGUACUGAGACACGGACCAGACUCCUACGGGAGGCAGCAGUAAGGAAUAUUGGACAAUGGUGGCAACACUGAUCCAGCCAUGCCGCGUGCAGGAAGAAGGCGCUACGCG